Molecule: long non-coding RNA, 1281 nt
Filed under: Brassica napus (rape)
Lineage: Eukaryota; Viridiplantae; Streptophyta; Magnoliopsida; Brassicales; Brassicaceae
Description: long non-coding RNA (BNAP_LNC014502)
Source: RNAcentral
GGGUUUUAGUUGUUUGAUUUAGGAUAUGACGUCAUACUGUUAGGCGUUUAUAAAUUUCAUGUAACUAAGACCAUCUUUAACGCUUCAUAUUUGUGGUCCUUAACAAGAUCCUUAAGCAUUAAUGUUGAUUUAAUUAAAUGGAAAACAAAUAAAUGCUAGAUAAUCGAUCCUUAGUGGGUUGAUUUGGUGACCAAAAAUAUCAAGGGUUUUUAAAACACGUGUCAGCUGCUCAUUUAUUUGUAUUUUUUUUCUUUUUCUUUUAUUUCUUUCUUUCUUGUUUUCGUUCUUGUUUUGUUCUUGUUUUCUCCGCGAGAAGAGACUGAUCGAAACCGACGAUGGAAACGACGAUUCUGUCGGUCCACUCGACGGCUCCUCCGUCUUUGCCGUGAUUAGAAGGAUCGAAACCCACCACGGACGACGACUCUCUCGGUCCUCAGCGCGGCUCCUCCAUCUUAUCUUGUUUUCUCCGUCGGAAGAAGGGUCUAAAAUCCAUCACAAGCGACGCCUCUCUCGUUCCUCACCGCGACUCCUCCGUCUUGUCUCCUCACCUCGACUCCUUUGACUCCUCCGUCUUGUCUCCUCACGAAGACUCCUCACCGUGACUCCUCUGACUCCUCCAUCUUGUCUCCUCACCGCGACUCCUCUUACUCCUCCGUCUUGUCUCCUAACCGCGACUCCUCUGACUUGUCUCCGUUAGAAGAUGGAUCGAAACCCACCACAAUCGACUACUCUCUCGGAGCCCACCGCAUCUGCUCUGUCGGUUCUCGUCUUCUCCGAGUGAAGAAUGGUUCAAACCCAUGACUUCCCGUGUAUGUACUAACUUUCUCACUUCAUUCUUGUGUUUUCAAUUUAAUUGUUAGCUAGCAAACUGGUUUAGACUAUCAUAUUGUUUGAUCUUAAGUUGAUUGUCUUGUUAAUUAUGACAGAGAGUUUGAGCUCUGGACAUGAGGUCCUCCGACUGAAGUCACAACCGGAAGGAGUUCUUUUUUGAAGUUCAGUGCAAACUGUGGGUGAGGUAUGUGUGCAAAAAUCGACUUUAAUUUCUUGCUUGCGACUGAUGAAUGCUUGUUAGAGUUAGGAUGAAUGCUUGGGUUAGUGGUUAGUAUGUAGAGUGAUGAAUGCUUGCCACAAGUGGUUAGUUUAAUGAAUGCUUUGUGAUGAAUGCUUGUUUUAGUGUUGUAAUAGGAUGUGGUUAGGUAAUAAAUAUGGUAGUUACAUGUCUUCUCAGCUCAAAUCUUCUCUUGAGAAAGAGUAAAGACAAUUACUCUCUCGUAUCUAACC